GGUGCUUUGUCUGCAUUCAUUCCUGAAAUUGUAAACCGAAGUGCUACAAAAUGAUCUAGUCGGUUGCCAGCCAAAGCAAGUAGUCGACGCUUGUAGUACAUAUCCAUUGUUUUAGUCACAAAAUGAAACAUUUGAAUGGCAUUAUAAGCCUUCAACCUAUCAAAUAUAAUGUCUUUGGUGAUACGAAUGACUUGCUCCAAAUAGUGGUUGGUAUUGUUUCCACGUGUCAUGAAGUCUUUUCUGAGACAUACACACCAUUCAUCGCGUCUCUCCCAAUACUGCUGCAAGCGUUUUCUAAAUAACUUGUGCUGUUGAACUUUCUCAUUGCAGUCAAUUCAAUUCUUGGCAGCAUAAAGCUGCUCUGAAGUCUUGGCAAACAAUAGGUCUUUGACCAUACUCAUAAAUAGGAGUCGGUCAUUCCUGUCCACCUCAGAUGUGGAAUUCCAUAACCACUGCCAAGUACUUUGUAGAAAAUGAAAUGAACAUAGAAACAAUGUAGCUUGAGGCCAUGUUGCUCUAAGACUUUGCCUUUCACUAGCUGAAUCGUCUGUCAUGAUGCCCAUAGGUCCAAGCUGUGGUCCUCGCCUGAAAAAUGCAUCAGGUGGUAAAAUUGUUUUCAGGAUGCGAAAUGCUUCUGUCAUAGUUGAGACAUCUUCCCCUGAUGUCAUCAGUACUGCUAACGGUAGUGCCCCCACAGCAGUUGCGGCGCUGAUUAUAAAACUGGUGUAUUUAACCUGUCCAAGCUGGCAGUGGCAUCGCAAAACACCAUCUCUCCGGCUUGCUGAACAAGUUUGUGGACUCUUGCCAUAAGAGGUGUGACAAUAGCAAGGACAAAUGGACUUUCUGUUUGCUGUUUAACUUCUUUAGGUUUGCAGUAAUUAAGGAUGGUCUUGGCUGUGGGAAGGUAUGUCUAGCUUACUGUCAGUGUGAGCUGUAUACUGUUGCAUAUGUGCACUUUGCCACCAUCGGCUUCAGUGAAUUUGUUGUGUCAAUUGAUCUCAGCAUUUAGCCUUACAAACAUUGGCAUACCGUUUUCAGCUCCUACUGUCAUAAGCCUCCAACUUCGGAACAAUCUCUGGACAUCCUGAGUGCUGGGAUUGAUUGAACGAUCUGCUAAUACUCUCUCCAUAGCUUGGUUUCCAUCAUAUUCUAGCUGAAGAGACGUGACAUAUUCAUGUCUCGCACUAGAUGCAGAAUUGACAUCUUCAAACAAGUGGACAUAUGCCUUUCUGUCUGUUUCAGAUAUUGGUCUAAUUAAAGCUGAGAGCAUGGCCAGAAUCUAUUGGAUGAUUGUGAUUGAACAACAGUUCACCAAACAUGGAUAUAGUGGAUGUUUCAUGUGUUUGUCUGGUGACAUAAUUGUGACAGAGUGUGUAGAUGGGCAGCCUGUCUUCUUGUCUCUUGUGCUUCUUUCACAUCCUUCUCUGACAUAGCCAAACUUCUUGAUUGGCAUUUUCUUUAUUGGUGUUUUUCUUUUAUGUUGGCAGUGCCGAACAGUUUUGAAAAUGAUUCUUUUCCCUGUUGUGCCAUAUGCAUGCAGUGCCUUUUGUAAUUCGAUAUGUUGUUUUAGUUUUCUCUUCUAGCUGUUGUAUCCAUGUCUGUAUCAACUUGAAGCCAAAAAUGAACUUGAAAAGCACAUGGUGGUGCUGCAAGGAAGGUUUCUAGUUCUAGGUGUUGAAACUUUCAAUGAUGUAUGCACUUGUUUGUGGCAGGUAUUCUUUCAACUGUAAGAAUUGGUCAUUAUGUACUGUGCUUUCAAUAGCCGGAAUAGAGAGACCUGAAGAGCUUUCUAUGCUACUGUUUGCUUGAGAGUCUUUGCAGUGAGAAUGGGAUGUUUCUUUGUAACAGCUUUAUGUUUCUUGAGAGUUGAUUUCCAGAUAUCAGCUGUUUCUUCUGCUUCCUUGUGAUUGGUCAUCAUCUUAAUGUCAAGCUACAAAAUAAAUUUUGUUGCACUCUCGAUGUUUUCUACAAGUGGGUGUCUUUGAGUAAUAUUCAACAAUGGUAUUUUUCUGGUUGAUGCUUUUUCAAGAUGGUUGAAAUCAAUGAGUUGAGACAUUUGAAUGUUGUCAUUCAAAAUCCAUGAAGCCACUGAAAGUCUAAUUCGAGGUAGAGAAGUUGCUGCAGGAUGCCAGGAGACUUGAAACAGUUACAGUAACAAGGCCACAAAUGGAGGCACAAGUUUGGAGGGGAUAGUGCUUACAUAAACAGGAACAGACAUGGCUACCUUGGCUAUCGAAGUUUGUCACAUGGAAGGCCUUCUUUGACAAACACAUUCUUGAUUUUGUGGCAUUUGACAGUGUAUUCAGUACUGGUUUAAAUUCAAUGUCAAUGUUGCUUGG
Molecule: long non-coding RNA, 2339 nt
Organism: Corticium candelabrum
Lineage: Eukaryota; Metazoa; Porifera; Homoscleromorpha; Homosclerophorida; Plakinidae
Exons: 4
Source: RefSeq, a predicted model, not a curated record